AGAGUUUGAUCAUGGCUCAGGACGAACGCUGGCGGCGUGCCUAACACAUGCAAGUCGAGCGAGGAACUUCGGUUCCUAGCGGCGGACGGGUGAGUAACACGUGGGUAACCUGCCUUGUAGAGGGGGAUAGCCUUCCGAAAGGAAGAUUAAUACCGCAUAACAUUAUUUUAUCGCAUGAUAGAAUAAUCAAAGGAGCAAUCCGCUACAAGAUGGACCCGCGGCGCAUUAGCUAGUUGGUGAGGUAACGGCUCACCAAGGCGACGAUGCGUAGCCGGCCUGAGAGGGUGAACGGCCACAUUGGAACUGAGACACGGUCCAGACUCCUACGGGAGGCAGCAGUGGGGAAUAUUGCACAAUGGGCGAAAGCCUGAUGCAGCAACGCCGCGUGAGUGAUGAAGGCCUUCGGGUUGUAAAGCUCUGUCUUCUGGGACGAUAAUGACGGUACCAGAGGAGGAAGCCACGGCUAACUACGUGCCAGCAGCCGCGGUAAUACGUAGGUGGCAAGCGUUGUCCGGAUUUACUGGGCGUAAAGGAUGCGUAGGCGGAUAUUUAAGUGAGAUGUGAAAUUCCCGGGCUUAACUUGGGAGCUGCAUUUCAAACUGGGUAUCUAGAGUGUGGGAGAGGAAAGUGGAAUUCCUAGUGUAGCGGUGAAAUGCGUAGAGAUUAGGAAGAACCCCAGUGGCGAAGGCGACUUUCUGGACCAUAACUGACGCUGAGGCAUGAAAGCGUGGGGAGCAAACAGGAUUAGAUACCCUGGUAGUCCACGCCAUAAACGAUGAAUACUAGGUGUGGGAGUUGUCAUGACUUCCGUGCCGCAGUUAACACAAUAAGUAUUCCGCCUGGGGAGUACGGUCGCAAGAUUAAAACUCAAAUGAAUUGACGG
RNAcentral lists this ribosomal RNA (883 nucleotides) under uncultured bacterium. Its description in RNAcentral is "bacterial SSU rRNA". It matches the Rfam family "Bacterial small subunit ribosomal RNA", at positions 8 to 916 of the family's 1533-position model. The record is from RNAcentral.